Non-coding RNA from Megalops atlanticus (tarpon), 78 nucleotides. NCBI's taxonomy places the organism in Eukaryota, Metazoa, Chordata, Actinopteri, Elopiformes, Megalopidae. The record is from the annotation of a GenBank genome assembly.
GGCAGUGUAGCAUAGUGGUAAGGCGAAGGGCUUGCAACCAAAAGGUUGCUGGUUCGAUUUCCCGCUGGGGCGCUGCCG